GGGUAGAGAUGUAGCAUCAAACAUUCACGGAUGUCCAGGGAGCACGGGCACACAGGCUGCUGGCCAGAGGUACUAGGAAGGUACAGGCGGGAGCUCGACGAGGACGCACCUUCCCCUGUCUUGGAAAGACUAUUAUGAGCACAAUACACUAGUCAUGUCGGAGAUAACAGCUUGACCUCAGCGUGGCUGCAAAAUGAAGCCACGUUUGGCUUUCCUAAGCCAUCAGGAGGCUGCUCACAGUGCUGCUGGACUCUUUAAGCCCUGAGGUCAUGUGAAAAGAAGUUUGCCCUGUGUCCUUCUGUCUCCUGUUGGCUGUCCACAAGAUGGAGAAGGCGGAAGCAACCUGAGGCGUCCUCUUUGUCUGUAAAGAUAGAGAGUCCAUUGUGGAAGGGGGAGAUACAGGAACUAUAUAGGCGAGGCCCUACCGGCCUGCAUCUCUUAUCUCCAGAAUUCUUUUACAGAAAAGAAAAAAAAUAAACUUUUAUCUGGCUUAAGCC
This 497-nucleotide long non-coding RNA is filed under the name Mus caroli (Ryukyu mouse). RNAcentral describes it as "lncRNA (MGP_CAROLIEiJ_G0006443.1)". Lineage: Eukaryota; Metazoa; Chordata; Mammalia; Rodentia; Muridae. The record is from RNAcentral.